AGCUGCAGUCGAGAAUCUUUCGCAUGGGCGAAGCCUGACGAAGCGACGCUGUGUGAGUGAUGAAGGCCUUCGGGUUGUAAAGCUCUUUCGCUCUGUGGAACAAAGGAUGAUGAGUUCAGGAUGAAUACCCGGUAUCGAUUUGAUGGUACUGGGUAAAGAGCACCGGCUAACUCCA
This 175-nucleotide ribosomal RNA is filed under the name uncultured Chlamydiales bacterium. RNAcentral's name for it is "partial 16S ribosomal RNA". It matches the Rfam family "Bacterial small subunit ribosomal RNA", at positions 347 to 505 of the family's 1533-position model. The record is from RNAcentral. Lineage: Bacteria; Pseudomonadati; Chlamydiota; Chlamydiia; Chlamydiales.